Molecule: non-coding RNA, 73 nt
Organism: Brassica napus (rape)
Lineage: Eukaryota; Viridiplantae; Streptophyta; Magnoliopsida; Brassicales; Brassicaceae
Source: Rfam
GGACACGUGGCCUAAUGGAUAAGGUGUUUGACUUCUAAUCAAACGAUUGUUGGGUCGAGGCCCACCGGGCCUG